Fusobacterium sp. CAG:439 is the source of this 73-nucleotide non-coding RNA. The record is from Rfam. NCBI's taxonomy places the organism in Bacteria, Fusobacteriati, Fusobacteriota, Fusobacteriia, Fusobacteriales, Fusobacteriaceae.
GGGCGAUUAGCGCAGUUGGUAGCGCACCACAUUGACGUUGUGGGGGUCACGUGUUCGAGUCACGUAUCGCCCA